GGGGCAGUCGUCUAGCUUGGUCUAGGAUACCAGCCUGGGGCGCUGGUGGUCACGGGUUCAAAUCCCGUCUGCCCCACCA
This 79-nucleotide transfer RNA is filed under the name Candidatus Bathyarchaeota archaeon. RNAcentral's name for it is "tRNA-Pro". It matches the Rfam family "tRNA". From Rfam's summary of the family: Transfer RNA (tRNA) molecules are approximately 80 nucleotides in length. Their secondary structure includes four short double-helical elements and three loops (D, anti-codon, and T loops). The record is from RNAcentral. Lineage: Archaea; Thermoproteati; Candidatus Bathyarchaeota. RNAcentral also lists the same sequence under 2 other names.